Molecule: unclassified non-coding RNA, 475 nt
Filed under: Hevea brasiliensis (rubber tree)
Lineage: Eukaryota; Viridiplantae; Streptophyta; Magnoliopsida; Malpighiales; Euphorbiaceae
Source: RNAcentral
AUGAAUUAUUAGUAGCUUUGCAAGGACUUAAAGACGAAAUUUAAAUUAUAAAUCAAGAAAGAAGAUUCACGUUGAAGAUGAACAAGAAGAAGAAUUCGAAGAGCAGCUUGAUGAGAAUGAGGAACAAAAAAAGCAACCUCGAGAAAGUAAACUUGAAAAGUUUGAGAUUAAAGAAUCUGUAGAAUUGAGUUUUAAACAUUUACAUGUUGCAGAGUCGAUUCGAAAGCAAGAAGUUAAUCAAGUCUUAGAGCCCUUAAUGGAGAUUGAAAACAAUUAAGUCAUGGAGUCAACGAAAAAUGAUGAUCCUACUGAGUUAAAGACCCUUUCAACUAUUAUUCUAAUUGAUUUUAUACAUCUAGAUGUUUCAAGGAAUACAAAAGAGAGUGUAAACUUUUUCAAGUCAAUUUUUUUGUUACCAUCCAAGAAGAUUGUAUCGUGUAUUCUCCAUAUUUAGUUUGUGAUCAUUCAGCACUUC